CAAUAGCGUAUAUUAAAGCUGUUGCGGUUAAAAAGCUCGUAGUUGGAUUUCUGUCAAGGACAGCUGGUCCGCCCUCCGGGUGAGUACAUAGCUUGGUCUUGGCAUCUUGUUGGAAAUUGUUGCUGCGCUUGGUUGUGUGGUGCAGUUUCCAGCACAUUCACUUUGAGGAAAUUGGAGUGUUUCAAGCAGGCACAAGCCUUCGGACACAGUAGCAUGGAAUAAUUAGAUUGGGCUUUUGCUCCAACUUGUCGGUUCCUGGAGCUGAGGUGAGACUCAAUGGGGAUUGUUGGGGGCAUCUGAAUUUAGCCGUCAGAGGUGAAAUUCUUGGAUCUGCUAAAGACGGACAACUGCGAAAGCGUUUGUCCAGGAUGUUUUCAUUGA
RNAcentral lists this ribosomal RNA (381 nucleotides) under uncultured eukaryote. RNAcentral describes it as "partial 18S ribosomal RNA". It matches the Rfam family "Eukaryotic small subunit ribosomal RNA", at positions 592 to 976 of the family's 1831-position model. The record is from RNAcentral.